This 187-nucleotide ribosomal RNA is filed under the name uncultured bacterium. RNAcentral describes it as "partial 16S ribosomal RNA". It matches the Rfam family "Bacterial small subunit ribosomal RNA", at positions 1308 to 1500 of the family's 1533-position model. The record is from RNAcentral.
CAACUCGACUCCAUGAAGCUGGAUUCGCUAGUAAUCGCGCAUCAGCCAUGGCGCGGUGAAUACGUUCCCGGGCCUUGUACACACCGCCCGUCAAGCCAUGGGAGUCGGGAGUGCCUGAAGUUCGUGACCGUCACAGGAGCGACCUAAGGCAAGACCGAUGACUGGGGCUAAGUCGUAACAAGGUAUC